UACCAGCACCCCGAGUGGUCGGGACGUUUAUUGGGCCUAAAGCAUCCGUAGCCGGUUCUACAAGUCUUCCGUUAAAUCCACCUGCUCAACAGAUGGGCUGCGGAAGAUACUAUGGAGCUAGGAGGCGGGAGAGGCAAGCGGUACUCGAUGGGUAGGGGUAAAAUCCGUUGAUCCAUUGAAGACCACCAGUGGCGAAGGCGGCUUGCCAGAACGCGCUCGACGGUGGGGGAUGAAAGCUGGGGGAGCAAACCGG
Molecule: ribosomal RNA, 253 nt
Filed under: uncultured bacterium
Lineage: Bacteria
Description: partial 16S ribosomal RNA
Rfam family: Archaeal small subunit ribosomal RNA
Source: RNAcentral